RNAcentral lists this long non-coding RNA (604 nucleotides) under Monodelphis domestica (gray short-tailed opossum). Its description in RNAcentral is "lncRNA (ENSMODG00000042344.1)". The record is from RNAcentral. Lineage: Eukaryota; Metazoa; Chordata; Mammalia; Didelphimorphia; Didelphidae.
AUGAGGUCAGGGCCAUUCCUUUAUUCCCUUUCUUUUCUCAGGAUAUGUAGAAAAAAUAACAAUUCAUUAUUCAUUUGGAGGAACAGAAUGUUCAAAUUCUCAAGGACAGUAAAGAAAAAAAUGAGAAGAAGAAUCCCAAGUAUUCCUCUGAGGGAGUCAUCCCAUGUGACAAAUAGUAUUUUUUUAGAGAAGAAAAAAAAUCAGCACAACUAAUCAAUACAAGGUAAAAGUCCAAAAAUGUGUGCAGUGUAUAAUGUCUGUGGUUUUUCCAUCUUUAUGUUUUCUCAUGCCAUUUUAUUCAAGUUCUGCUUGAUCUUUGUAAAAUUUGUUGCAUUUACUUUUGAUUUUUUGAUGUUUUUCUUUCCAUUUACAUGUUAUGGUUACUAUGUAUACUGUUUUCUUGGUUCUGCUUACUUCAUUCUUCAUCAGUUCAUAUAGAACUUUCCAUGUUUCUCUGUGUUCUUUACAUACAUCACUAUGUAUAUAAUUUUACAUUUACAUUUACAAAAACUUUAUAUAUAAAUUAAAAUCAAUAUAUAAUAAUUUCAAAUAUAUUUUAUGAUUUAUUAAUAAAAUUUCCAACCCAAGAAGGAAAAAUAUCGAG